GUAAUUUAAAAUUAAUUCCUUAGGAUUAAAAGAGAUCUUAAAAUUAAAAAAGUUUGGCGGUAUUUAAGUCUAACUAGAGGAAUUUGCAAUUUAAUCGAUAAUCCCCGAUAAUCUUUCCUCGAUUUGUAAAUCAGCUUGUAUACCGUUGUCUUCAGAUUACACUAAUAAGUGUUUUUAAAAAAAUUUUUGUAAGUCAAAUCAAGGUGUAGCUUAUGUUGAGGUUAUUGUGAAUUACAUUAAUAGUAAUUAUAUGAAUAUUAAAUUGUAAUUUUUAGUUGAAGGUGGAUUUAGUUGUAAGUUUAAUUUAUUAAAUUAUUCUGAAUAAGUACUUUUAUAUGU
Molecule: ribosomal RNA, 339 nt
Filed under: Cormocephalus sp. A JAH-2019
Lineage: Eukaryota; Metazoa; Arthropoda; Chilopoda; Scolopendromorpha; Scolopendridae
Description: partial small subunit ribosomal RNA
Source: RNAcentral